GACGAACGCUGGCGGCGUGCUUAACACAUGCAAGUCGAACGGAAAGGCCCGGCUUUUGUGGGGUGCUCGAGUGGCGAACGGGUGAGUAACACGUGAGUAACCUGCCCCUGACUUUGGGAUAACUUCAGGAAACUGGGGAUCAUAUCCGAUAGGAGCUUCUGCUGCACGGUGGGGGUUGGAAAGUUUCGGCGGUUGGGGAUGGACUCGCGGCUUAUCAGCUUGUUGGUGGGGUAGUGGCUUACCAAGGCUUCGACGGGUAGCCGGCCUGAGAGGGUGACCGGGCCCAUUGGGCCUGAGGAAGGACCCAGACUGCAACGGGGGGCAUCGGGGGAGAACAUUGCGCAAUGGGCGGAAGCAUGAUGCAACGGCGCCGGGUGCGGAAUGACGGCCUUCGGGUUAUAAACCGCUUUCGCGUGUGACGAAGCGUGAGUGACGGUAAUGUGUAAAGAAGCAACGGCUAACUACGUG
This 468-nucleotide ribosomal RNA is filed under the name uncultured bacterium. RNAcentral describes it as "partial 16S ribosomal RNA". It matches the Rfam family "Bacterial small subunit ribosomal RNA", at positions 28 to 507 of the family's 1533-position model. The record is from RNAcentral.